UACGUAGGGCGCAAGCGUUGUCCGGAAUUAUUGGGCGUAAAGAGCUCGUAGGCGGUUUGUCGCGUCUGCUGUGAAAACCUAAGGCUCAACCUGGGCCUUGCAUCGGUAGGACGGCAGACUAGAGGUGCGGAGGGGUGACUGGAAUUCCUGGUGAUAGCGGUGAAAUGCGCAGAUAUCAGGAGGAACACCGGUGGCGAAGGCGGGUCUCUGGGCCAAUACUGACGUGGAGGAGCGAAAGCGUGGGGAGCAAACAGG
Molecule: ribosomal RNA, 255 nt
Filed under: uncultured bacterium
Lineage: Bacteria
Description: partial 16S ribosomal RNA
Rfam family: Bacterial small subunit ribosomal RNA
Source: RNAcentral